CCCUUAUGCCUUGUAAGGGUGUCAACUUUGUCUUUUUGUCUUUUAAAUGGGAACACAUAUUUUGAAUAUAAUAAAAUGUUUGGAUUUUUAAUUAAAUAGUAAAUGGCAUUUGAAUUUUUAAUAUAACUUUAUUAGUUUAUUAGAUAUAAACAUUUAAAGUUUCAAAUUUUUGAGUUAAUAUACAUGUAUAAUACACAUGAUGAUAUGAUUACAAAUACAGGUAGCUAAAUGGUUUAUAUGAUAUCAAUGUCGCAGUCACGGAUUGUUUAUUAUCAAUUAUGACUAUCAUAGAUAUACUUUCUGUAUUGUCAGUUAGUGUAUUUAUAAACUCACAACAAUGUGCCUUACUACCAUUGAUAAUAACAAUGCUGUGUACCUGCUAAUUUCUUUGAAGUUGUUUUAAACAAAGUAACUCAUAACUAAAUACUUUAUUUAUAAUAAGUAAACAAAUAAUAAAAUCUCCUUUCAGUAUUGAUGUUCGUAAAUUACUUGCUUUUGAUGAUGUUUCAGUGUCAUUCCACUUCGAAAUUAUAAAUAACGAUUCAAUUAGGUACACAAAAAGCUCAAGAAAAUCAUUGACAGCAUAAAAACGUUCAACUUAUUUUGUCGCGCAUAAUUGUUUUAAUGAUUUUUUAGUUAUACAUUUUUGACUUUCUUCGAUUUGACUUUUCAACACAUCUUUUCGCUUUGGAAGAUGAAUAAGAAAUAGCAAGGUUUAAAACAUGAACAGCACAAUGAACAAACGUCGCAAGCGGAUAACUUUGGUGAAUAAGAGAUUGAGCUCCGUUAAAUUGACCAGACAUAGAAGCACAUCCAUCGUAACACUGUCCUCUAAGUAGUAUCUGUUGUAGGCACAAACUGAAAAAUUCUUCCUUGAUAAUCAUAUUUUCAACAUCUAAAUAUCGAACACACAAAGUUACUUGUUCGCUUCCACCAAUGUCGGCCGUUUCAUCAGCAAGUAUUUUGAAACAUCUUUGGGCAUUUAUGUUUGUUACGAUUUUAUUUAAAAUAAUUUUAUUACAGGAUUCAAUUAUUUCAUUUUGAAGUGUUUCACUUGUAUAUUUUAUUGUUUCUUCAGCUUCCAAAAAUGAUUUUAAACGGUCAUCUCCUUGGGCUCUGUAUCUUAAUAUUUCUCUAAAAUUUCCUUGAUUUUCUUGGAUAAUUUGUCAUUUUCUUGAUAUAUAUUGAAGUUACAAAGAUAGCCGUUAUUGUCAAAAAAAAAAAAAAAAUAAUAAUAAUAACAUUAAAAAUGCAAAUAAUAAUUAAACCUAUAAGGUAGUUAAACCCUAAAGUUAUUUUCGAUUUGUUAAAGUCGUUAAAAUUAAUUCAAAUCUCCUGUUAUUUUCUUUUAUCAGAAUUAUUAUGUCAUUAAUUCAAUUAUUAAUUAAAUUGUUAAACUAUAUUAUAUAUUCAACUUAAUAAAUUUUUAUGUUGAUUAUAAUCGCAUGGCAUGAUGUUUUUUGUUAAUAACUAAAUGGAAAUAGCAAUUUCACAUGGGCAAAAUUUUUAAUAGUUGCAAGAGAAUAAAUCCAAACGUUGAUAUUUUAUUUCAUACAGAUUAAAUUUUAUAUGCAUAAAUAUUCUGUUAACCGAUAUCAAAUUUAUUCCACUUGAACUUUCAUAAAAAAAUCUCUAUCAUUUGUAAACUAAUGUAAUAAAUAAACAAACAAAU
Long non-coding RNA from Daktulosphaira vitifoliae (grape phylloxera), 1672 nucleotides. RefSeq lists it as uncharacterized. Lineage: Eukaryota; Metazoa; Arthropoda; Insecta; Hemiptera; Phylloxeridae. The transcript has 3 exons. The record is from RefSeq and is a predicted model, not a curated record.